GAUGAACGCUAGCUACAGGCUUAACACAUGCAAGUCGAGGGGAAACGACAUCGAAAGCUUGCUUUUGAUGGGCGUCGACCGGCGCACGGGUGAGUAACGCGUAUCCAACCUGCCCACCACUUGGGGAUAACCUUGCGAAAGUAAGACUAAUACCCAAUGACGUCUCUAGAAGACAUCUGAAAGAGAUUAAAGAUUUAUCUGUGAUGGAUGGGGAUGCGUCUGAUUAGCUUGUUGGCGGGGUAACGGCCCACCAAGGCGACGAUCAGUAGGGGUUCUGAGAGGAAGGUCCCCCACAUUGGAACUGAGACACGGUCCAAACUCCUACGGGAGGCAGCAGUGAGGAAUAUUGGUCAAUGGGCGAGAGCCUGAACCAGCCAAGUAGCGUGCAGGAUGACGGCCCUAUGGGUUGUAAACUGCUUUUAUAAGGGAAUAAAGUGAGUCUCGUGAGACUUUUUGCAUGUACCUUAUGAAUAAGGACCGGCUAAUUCCGUGCCAGCCGCCGCAGUAA
RNAcentral lists this ribosomal RNA (508 nucleotides) under uncultured bacterium. RNAcentral's name for it is "partial 16S ribosomal RNA". It matches the Rfam family "Bacterial small subunit ribosomal RNA", at positions 28 to 523 of the family's 1533-position model. The record is from RNAcentral.